Molecule: ribosomal RNA, 478 nt
Filed under: uncultured bacterium
Lineage: Bacteria
Description: partial 16S ribosomal RNA
Rfam family: Bacterial small subunit ribosomal RNA
Source: RNAcentral
AUGAACGCUGGCGGCGUGCUUAACACCUGCAAGUCGAACGAGGCACCUUGAUUCGAUUCUUCGGAUGAAGAUCUUGGUGACUGAGUGGCGGACGGGUGAGUAACGCGUGGGUAACCUGCCUCAUACAGGGGGAUAACAGUUAGAAAUGACUGCUAAUACCGCAUAAGACCACAGCACCGCAUGGUGCAGGGGUAAAAACUCCGGUGGUAUGAGAUGGACCCGCGUCUGAUUAGGUAGUUGGUGGGGUAACGGCCUACCAAGCCGACGAUCAGUAGCCGACCUGAGAGGGUGACCGGCCACAUUGGGACUGAGACACGGCCCAAACUCCUACGGGAGGCAGCAGUGGGGAAUAUUGCACAAUGGGGGAAACCCUGAUGCAGCGACGCCGCGUGAGCGAUGAAGUAUUUCGGUAUGUAAAGCUCUAUCAGCAGGGAAGAAAAUGACGGUACCUGACUAAGAAGCACCGGCUAAAUACGUG